Molecule: unclassified non-coding RNA, 402 nt
Filed under: Hevea brasiliensis (rubber tree)
Lineage: Eukaryota; Viridiplantae; Streptophyta; Magnoliopsida; Malpighiales; Euphorbiaceae
Source: RNAcentral
AAUAGGUUCACUGAAAAUUCAUAUAUCGUAGUCUAAACAUAUUCACAAAUUGGCAGCAUUUCAGUGGUUUUACCAACAGAGAUCACUACGUUUCCCUUCUAUUUUCAUUCUUUCUCAUUAUGCUAACCAAGUAGGGCAGCAAAACUAAGUUAGAUGAAAAAACGAGUAGCUUGAAAGAAUAGGAUUAGAAAUGAGCAUAUUUUAUCAGUCUAUUAGGUACUAGACCAAUGAUCAAACAUCUGUCAAAGCAAAAAGAAGGUUAAAACACAUGACUGCUCUGAGUAUGUGAUAGGGAAGAUUUCCGGGUGCUUUUCUUUUCAACAAAUCCUAUAUUGAAAACUGUGCAUGACUGGGUUUCCCUGGAUUUGCACUUUCUGCAGCUUUUGCAGUUGUAGGUCCAUA